Non-coding RNA from Trichonephila clavipes, 73 nucleotides. The record is from the annotation of a GenBank genome assembly. NCBI's taxonomy places the organism in Eukaryota, Metazoa, Arthropoda, Arachnida, Araneae, Nephilidae.
GUCCCUGUAGCGCAACAGAUAGUGCGUUGAACUUCUAAUCCAAUGAUCGUGGGCUCAAAUCCCACCUGGGAUG